This 860-nucleotide ribosomal RNA is filed under the name uncultured Neocallimastigales. RNAcentral describes it as "partial large subunit ribosomal RNA". It matches the Rfam family "Eukaryotic large subunit ribosomal RNA", at positions 26 to 626 of the family's 3401-position model. Lineage: Eukaryota; Fungi; Neocallimastigomycota; Neocallimastigomycetes; Neocallimastigales. The record is from RNAcentral.
CGCAUCUGUGCAUGCAGCAUAUCAAUAAGCGGAGGAAAAGAAACUAACAAGGAUUCCCUUAGUAACGGCGAGUGAAGCGGGAAGAGCUCAAAUUUGAAAUCUUCAAGGUUUUACCUUGACGAAUUGUAGUUUAAAGAAGUGUUUUCUGUUGAAGUUUUGGUAAAAGUUCUUUGGAAUAGGACAUCAUAGAGGGUGAGAAUCCCGUAUUUGACCAUUAUUUUCAGCUGUGUGAUACACUUUCAAAGAGUCGGAUUGUUUGGGAAUGCAGUCCAAAAUGGGUGGUAAAUUUCAUCUAAAGCUAAAUAUUGGCGAGAGACCGAUAGCGAACAAGUACCGUGAGGGAAAGAUGAAAAGAACUUUGAAAAGAGAGUUAAACAGUACGUGAAAUUGUCAAAAGGGAAGCGUUUGACACCAGUGUUGUUUUCUCGAAAAUCAAUUAAAAAGAGUUAGGAUUUUGUUGUGUAUUGACCUUAACAGCUUGCAUUUCAAUCUUUUCAUUGCUUUUUUUAAUGCACUUUUCGUUUAACAAGUCAACAUCAGUUUCUUUUGUUGUAAAAGGGUCAUUGGAAGGUGGCUUUCUUUUCGGAGAAAGUGUUUAUAGCCUUUGAUCUCCUGCAAUCGGAGAGACUGAGGUCUGCAGCGUAGAUCCUUCGGGGUUAGAUACAUUUGUGCUAAGCUACAGCUUUUCAUAGACAACUUGUUGACUAUGUUUAGUCUUGUGACUUACCCGCUUAUGCUAUUUUACCUACGCUUAGGAUGUUGACGCGCGUGUGUGCGUGAGUCUAUACAUGACUCUGUGCAUAUCAAUAAGCGGAGGAAAAGGGUACCUACGCUUAGGAUGUUGACGCAUGAGAUAUACG